RNAcentral lists this non-coding RNA (148 nucleotides) under Pan troglodytes (chimpanzee). Lineage: Eukaryota; Metazoa; Chordata; Mammalia; Primates; Hominidae. The record is from Rfam by way of RNAcentral.
GCCGGGCGUGGUGGCGGGCGCCUGUAGUCCCAGCUACUGGGGAGGCUGAGGCAGGAGAAUCGCUUGAACCCAGGAGGCGGAGGUUGCAGUGAGUCGAGAUCACGCCACUGCAUUCCAGCCUGGGUGACACAGCAAGACUCUGUCUCAA